AUUGAACGCUGGCGGCAGGCCUAACACAUGCAAGUCGAGCGGAUGAAGGGAGCUUGCUCCUGGAUUCAGCGGCGGACGGGUGAGUAAUGCCUAGGAAUCUGCCUGGUAGUGGGGGAUAACGUCCGGAAACGGGCGCUAAUACCGCAUACGUCCUGCGGGAGCAAGUGGGGGAUCUUCGGACCUCACGCUAUCAGAUGAGCCUAGGUCGGAUUAGCUAGUUGGUGGGGUAAAGGCCUACCAAGGCGACGAUCCGUAACUGGUCUGAGAGGAUGAUCAGUCACACUGGAACUGAGACACGGUCCAGACUCCUACGGGAGGCAGCAGUGGGGAAUAUUGGACAAUGGGCGAAAGCCUGAUCCAGCCAUGCCGCGUGUGUGAAGAAGGUCUUCGGAUUGUAAAGCACUUUAAGUUGGGAGGAAGGGCAGUAAGUUAAUACCUUGCUGUUUUGACGUUACAAACAGAAUAAGCACCGGCUAACUUCGUG
This 484-nucleotide ribosomal RNA is filed under the name uncultured bacterium. RNAcentral's name for it is "partial 16S ribosomal RNA". It matches the Rfam family "Bacterial small subunit ribosomal RNA", at positions 30 to 507 of the family's 1533-position model. The record is from RNAcentral.